RNAcentral lists this ribosomal RNA (256 nucleotides) under uncultured bacterium. Its description in RNAcentral is "partial 16S ribosomal RNA". The record is from RNAcentral.
CUGCUGCCUUCCGUAGGAGUUUGGUCCGUGUCUCAGUACCAAUGUGGGGGGGUUAACCUCUCAGUCCCCCUAUGUAUCGUCGCCUUGGUGAGCCGUUACCUCACCAACCAGCUAAUACAACGCAUGCCCAUCAUCAACCACCGGAGUUUUCAACCCCAUGCGAUGCCGCAUGAGAUAUUAUGGGGUAUUAGUACCAAUUUCUCAGUGUUAUCCCCCUGUUGAUGGUAGGUUGCAUACGCGUUACGCACCCGUGCCG